Molecule: ribosomal RNA, 460 nt
Filed under: uncultured bacterium
Lineage: Bacteria
Description: partial 16S ribosomal RNA
Rfam family: Bacterial small subunit ribosomal RNA
Source: RNAcentral
CCUACGUGAGGCAGCAGUGAGGAAUAUUGGUCAAUGGGCGUAAUCCUGAACCAGCCAAGUCGCGUGAGGGAUGAAGGUUCUAUGGAUCGUAAACCUCUUUUAUAAGGGAAUAAAGUGCGGGACGUGUCCCUUUUUGUAUGUACCUUAUGAAUAAGGAUCGGCUAACUCCGUGCCAGCAGCCGCGGUAAUACGGAGGAUCCGAGCGUUAUCCGGAUUUAUUGGGUUUAAAGGGUGCGUAGGCGGCGUUUUAAGUCAGCGGUGAAAGUCUGUGGCUCAACCAUAGAAUUGCCGUUGAAACUGGGAGGCUUGAGUAUGUUUGAGGUAGGCGGAAUGCGUGGUGUAGCGGUGAAAUGCUUAGAGAUCACGCAGAACCCCGAUUGCGAAGGCAGCCUGCUAAGCCAUGACUGACGCUGAUGCACGAAAGCGUGGGGAUCAAACAGGAUUAGAUACCCUUGUAGUC